UCCGUAGGUGAACCUGCGGAAGGAUCAUUAUCUAUUCCAUGAGGUGCGGUCGCGGCCCUCGGCGGGAGCAACAGCUACCGUCGGGCGGUAGAGGUAACACUUUCACGCGCCGCAUGUCUGAAUCCUUUUUUUACGAGCACCUUUCGUUCUCCUUCGGCGGGGCAACCUGCCGUUGGAACCUAUCAAAACCUUUUUUUUGCAUCUAGCAUUACCUGUUCUGAUACAAACAAUCGUUACAACUUUCAACAAUGGAUCUCUUGGCUCUGGCAUCGAUGAAGAACGCAGCGAAAUGCGAUAAGUAGUGUGAAUUGCAGAAUUCAGUGAAUCAUCGAAUCUUUGAACGCACAUUGCGCCCCUUGGUAUUCCAUGGGGCAUGCCUGUUCGAGCGUCAUCUACACCCUCAAGCUCUGCUUGGUGUUGGGCGUCUGUCCCGCCUCUGCGCGCGGACUCGCCCCAAAUUCAUUGGCAGCGGUCCUUGCCUCCUCUCGCGCAGCACAUUGCGCUUCUCGAGGUGCGCGGCCCGCGUCCACGAAGCAACAUUACCGUCUUUGACCUCGGAUCAGGUAGGGAUACCCGCUGAACUUAAGCAUAUCAAUAAGCGGAGGA
RNAcentral lists this ribosomal RNA (606 nucleotides) under Paraconiothyrium brasiliense. RNAcentral describes it as "eukaryotic LSU rRNA". The stretch from base 238 to 391 matches the Rfam family "5.8S ribosomal RNA". The record is from RNAcentral. Lineage: Eukaryota; Fungi; Ascomycota; Dothideomycetes; Pleosporales; Didymosphaeriaceae.